RNAcentral lists this non-coding RNA (30 nucleotides) under Rattus norvegicus (Norway rat). Lineage: Eukaryota; Metazoa; Chordata; Mammalia; Rodentia; Muridae. The record is from RNAcentral.
UCACUCCUGUCAGUGAAAUGGUCCCUAACC